Molecule: long non-coding RNA, 7809 nt
Filed under: Hordeum vulgare
Lineage: Eukaryota; Viridiplantae; Streptophyta; Magnoliopsida; Poales; Poaceae
Description: long non-coding RNA (HVUL_LNC007804)
Source: RNAcentral
GUUAAUCGACGCAGAAGCGCCAGGUAUCACCUUUCUUUUGUGUUAGAGUAAAACGAGAUUGAAUAAAAGUAAUAGACGAUCAGUCCUGAUUUCUAUUGAUUCUCAAGUUUAUAUACAUCUGGAAGAGGUGCGAAGAAGAGGUGCCUGUUCGGAGGCAUCCCUCCAGAACAGGUGCCUGUUGGCAAUAGAGAGAUAGAAUAGACAUGACUUUUCGGGGUUGGACACCCUUUCCUAAUUAAUUUCUAACACUCCCCCUUGUACAACACCGUUCCUUGAAUGCUUCAUUGUUGAAAGUUUCUUGCAUAUAUAGAUGUUCCAUCUUGAGAAAUCUUAGAUAAUCUUGAGAGUCUCCCCCAAAAACCCUGUGGGAAAAAUAUGAGGAGAAUAGAGUAGAUAUGUUGCUAAAACUCCUUUAAACCCAGUGGGAAAAAUAAGGAGAAAAUGAUGCAACAUAUGAUGAUUAUUGUCUCUUGAUAACUCAUAUGAAAAAAAACCUUUGAAGAAGGAGAAAACUCAUUGAUAAGUUUAAAGAACAAUUAAUAUGUCUUGAGUACUUCCUUUAAAAACCCUGAUAGGGAAAAUAGAAAGUAUGACAUAUGAUCUUUGAGAAGAUAUUGCCUCACUAAAAACCAUUAUGAGAAACUUUGAUAGAAAACUCAUAAGGGGAAAGAGUGCAAUCGUACAUGCCAUUGAAAACUCCUUUAAAACCCAAUGGGAAAAAUACAAGGAGAAAAUGAUAUAGCAUAUAAAGACACUUGUGUUUAUAUUGUCUCGUUAAAAACCUUUUAUGAGAAACCAAUAGGGAAAACUCAUCAAGGGAAAAAGAGUACAAUAUAUGCAAUCUGAUGAUUGUUAAUAGGUUAUAGUUUGGGACAUUACUCCCCCUGAACUUUGCAAAUAUGAAGGAUGUCUCAUACCAAUUCCAUUGACAUGAACAUGAGAUUGUGUAUAAUUUGUUGGAUUAUAACAGUAGUUUGUUUGCAAAUUAUUUCCUCACUUUUCUAUAAUCUGUGAGGCUAAGUAAUUUCCGAGCAAUGUGAUUUAUGAUAUUGCUCUUCAUAUAACCUAUAGGUAUUGAGUAACACAAGUGGAAGUAUCUUGAUAAAUCAAGUUAUGUGAUUCUGAUGAAUCUCAACCACGUGAUUUUGAGUGUGGUUAACCAUUCUACUAAGUUAUGCAUAUUUUGCAAUGCCUUUAGAUAAAGCAAUUAUGUUAGAAUGAUAACUGGAAAUAACCACUAAAAUACAUUUAUAUGACUUCCAUGUGAAGGCUAUUCCAGCAAAUUCAGUCAUUGAUAUGGCAUCGUUGGGAUCAAAUAAAGAGCCAAUAUCAUUACAUCAUAUCAUGGUCAUAUCUUCUAUUUCCUGGUGGAAAUAUCCAAGAUUUACUGUAAUCUUCAGAUAUAAGAUGAUAUUACUUAUAUCAACCAUAUACCUUUUGUUGGGGUUUGCCCUCUGAAUAAAGAUAGCAAAUAUAGUGUCAGGCCUGACGUAGUUUGCAAGUAUAUGAGUGCUUUGGCAUUAGUGAGAUAUAGAACUUCAGGUCCUAGUAUCACUUCAUUAUCACCCCUAGGUAUAAAUGGAUUUGUACCUUAUCAAAGGUAGUAUGACCAUACAUGUCUUUUGUUGAUAUGAUAUAUCCAAAUUGAACUUCUCGUAUAUGUUUGGAUAUAUGUAGACUGAUCUGUAUUCUUGAGAGAAUGCUCAAGUUGUAAACUUAAGCUAAAUUUGGUUGAAUCCAAAUUUUCCGUCUUGAGAUGAUUUUGUGUAUGUUUAGGUCUUGUAGAGACAUUGAUGAUGAAUUUAUGAUAUAAGGAAUUCAAAUUUGGGAUACCUUUAUUAACAUAUAAACAAUUUAUCAUCCUUUGAAUAAUCCUUUGAAGAAGGAACUCAUUUAGUCGGUAGUACCAUAUGAUUUCCGACUAUUUCAAGCCAUAGAGUGACUUCUGAAAUUUUACACAUAUAUGUUGCGAUUUAUUUUGGAUUCGGAAUUGUAAGCCCUUGAGGUACUUCGUUAUAAAUUUCCGAAAUGAGUAACCCAUAUGAGUAUGUAGUCACUUCAUCCAUUAACUACAUGGAUAAUAUUAUUUGUACUGCCAAUGAUAUUUGUUAUCGAAACUUAAUUCCACUCAUACCAAGAGGGUAUGUUACAUCAUAAUUUGAUGUCGGGUCUCUGUGUGAACCCUUUUGCUACAAGACUCGCUUUCUCACCACCUCAUUGACUUUGUCUAUGAAUGAGAAGUUUUUAGUAUUCCAUAUGGAAGAUACUUAUGAGGAGUAGGUAUUACUGUGGUAAAUACCACUCGUUUGUAGAGCGAGUGCUAUUCUUCAUUACUUGCUUCCUUUUAUGUGAACCAAUAUGAGUACAAGAGGCACUCUACCAUGGAUUUUGGUUCAGGGCCCAAAAGGUUUUAGCAAUUUUCAGAAGAAAUAUAUGUCGACAAAUGUAGACUUAUGUUAUAUGAUUCUGGAGGAAUCAAUGAAAUUUGUGGAAAGGUAUUUAUUCCUUUUAACUCCUUGUGAUUUCCUACAACAAUGGAGUCAAGGUGUUCGAUGUCCCGACACGAAAACAUUUGUGCACAUUUAUGUCGGGCUUUGGAUGAUGAGCAUCCAGUGAGGUGUCUUUCAACUUGAUGUUGAAUUACAUUUACUGGUUGAGGAUUUGAUUUCCUCUAUUUCCGCGGAAGCAUAUGCGAGAUUAUAUCUCGUGUGGUCAGAUUUCUCCCCCUCUUGCUCUCAUUUCGGGAGAAGAGUGGUUUAUCAGGUACCUCCACUCUUUGUGACACUUUACUGCAGGAAUAUAAAAUUGAGUGACACCUUUGUCAUCAGUAAAUGUAUGUGGCAGAUUUGCAAUGUGUUGCAAAUAUGUGAUUCUAAACUUCUUGUUCAGAUUCUUUGAGUACAUGGAUAUAAGGACUGAAUGUGAAUAACAUUACUAAUUUAUUUCUUGGCAUUCUUUGUGGUACUUAUCUCCCCCUAAUGCCAGAAAUGUCCUUAUUGCUGAUGCAAUCAGCAUACGGGCUAUGAAUAAUUUUGAUUGACGGAUAAAUUGUCAUUCCUCACUUAGAUCCCUAAUUUUCUGUGAGAGCCCAUUGAUGUAUGCUGGAGUGGUGAUAUCGGUAUGUAAUAGAAUUAUCGCAGAUAGGAAAUACUUUGUUGAUUUCCACGUAAUUACUAAAAGGGGAAAGUAGUAUGCUAUGCAGUUGGUAUGAUUUAUAUCAUACUUACGGUGUGUAAUGCCGUAUUUUGUCUAGCAUGAGGCUAGUAAAUCAUGAUUCUAUAAGUUUGGUCAUAUUAUUAAUUUCACUAUCUUUGAUAAGAUAUUCAACUAAACCAUUUUGGGUAUGUACAUAAAGUAUUAUAUAUAAUCAGAUAUUUCUUGUGAAAUGAGUUCAACAAAGUUGUCCAUUCGAAUGGAUUUAUCCCUUGUUUAGUAUAACUUGCUCUUACUUUGAUAAUUUGAGCAAUUGAUUUAGUUAUAUCAUUCAUGGUUUGUGUGACAAGAGACACACUAGAAUCAUUUUAUAAAUGUUUCCAUGAGUACCAUAAAGUAUCUAUAAAAUACCACACAAUGGUUGAGAAUGCACAUAUCUUCUGAAUGUGUUCAAGGAAGAAUGAGUUGGCUCAUUUAGAAUUGUAAGGUGAGAGUUCCUUAAAUUAAUUUCCCUUAUGGCACAUGUGGUGUACAUAAAAUCUGAUGAUUUGGGAAAUUUUGCAACUUGUUAAGUUGUGACCAAUAGAAUUGUCAAUAAUUUUCUAAACAACCCCAAACCUGGAUUGUAAGGCUUAAAACCAAAUAUUUUGUAAGAUUUAGAAAAUUAUUGUGUACGCAACAAAACUGAGUAUGAAUUGAUUCAUACAUUCAAAAAAUUUCAAACAUGACGUCCAAGAAAUAGAAUGUUGGACAUUAUACUACAUGUAGUAGUACAACUAUAAGCAAACAAUAUUUUGGGAAUAAUCGGGAUAUUACAUGAGGUCUCCCAUAUUACUGAAAAAUGAAUUAUGCAAACAUAUUAUAGGCGCAAACGAAUUGAUCAUUCUUUUAUUGCACUAUAUUUUUGGUUCUCCUUCUGAUGAAGAUUUGAGAACAUCAUUUACCAGAAUAGUUUCUGGUCGUAUGUUUGCAAAUUUCAAAUAUCCCAAUAAACUUAUUUGCCUUUUAAUAAAUUCAUGGUGUGGUUUGACCAUAUGUUUGAGGGUUUGAUAAUCAUAUGUACGAUAUUUAUGUAACCACACAUUUGACAAACUUGAGAGUUGUCUUUGUGAUCAUUUGAAAAUGAUCAAUUCCCAAUUAAAAGGUAAUUCUAACAUCGAUUGUCUUUAGCCUCCACUUUACUUUGAAUUCCUCAUGGUUCUAUUUUGUGAAAUGUGACUUGCUAAUCAAUACUAGCAAAUAUUUGAAAUAAUGGUAUAGCACCCGUUGGGUGAAUAUGAUGAUUUUGAGAAAUAAUAUGUUUCUUUACCAUGAAAAUGGUAAUGCCAUCAUAAGAAGAUGUAAAGUGCAUCAAGGGCUUUUCAACCCGAUCUGCAUAUGAAAAUGUCAGAUCAUGAGAUCUCAACUUCAAGUUGAUUUUAUAAUUACCAAAAUUGUAAGUUGCGAUAGACUUGAGGUCUUGAAAAAUUAUUGGGUGAUCAUUCCAAAUGUGGUCGGGGCAGCAUGUUUCUCUUAAGGGAAAUAUUCAAGGUGAAUAAAUAUUCAUUCAUUAUGUACUUAGUUUGAGAACUAAGUGAAGUUGGUGAGAGAUGAAAUACAUAUGAUCAUACUUAGCUAUUAAGAGAAUAGCCAUGGCACAUAUUCCGAAGGUGAGGUUAUAGUAGCAAUAAUACCUCGGGGUGGAUACAACGACUGAUGUCGUAAAUCAUCUUACAAUAAAUAAUCUCACCUAACAUGUACUUACUGUAUUUCGAAAUGUGAGCCACGCGUUACUUGAAAAUGCUAAUGCAUUUAUUUAAUUUACUUCUAGGAGUAAGUGGCAUCUAUAAAUAAAUGAUUUGUUUGAGAACAAUCAUGGUCAAGGUGAUCCUUGGUGAACCUGGGUGUAUCCUUCAAUAUAACACAUGUGAUUAAAUUAUUGCUAAUGUUUUGGACUUCAUUCUUGAGGAAGUGUGUGACUUUAGAGUCACUGCCAAAAUGUAUAGACUUGCAUGCUUAACAUUGGUUAGUCACUAUGAAAUUAUAACCACGAUGUCCUGUGGACCUUGCAAAAGUGUUGAGACACUUAAUCAUUGUCAUAAAUUAUGUGGUCCAUCAUGAUGGAUGGACGACACUAUAAUUAGAAAUAUUGUCGUAGGCUUCAUUGCUAUGUAUUUUACCAAUGUAAUAGAAGGUAAUCACAAGUAAAUGCAAAUAUUUAUGUAGUUCCCUAUGACAUAUUCAAGCAAAAAGAGGCUUGAAUAAUUGAUAUUGGUAGAUAAUACCAUUCAACAUGCAAUAAUCAUGCAUGAAUUUACUAUGAUAGUAAAUCAUUUUAGUGAACAACAACAAUUGCUUCAGAGGAGCAAAUUUUAGUACGGCUGAUGCCAUAUAGCCAUAUGUGUAGACCUCAAUUUAUAUAGGAUAACACUUUAAGGAUAAUCACCAAUAUGGUGUAGAUCUCGCAGUAAUAGAAAACAUAGUCUGACGAUGUUUAUAAUUCUAUUACCUUAUGUUAUGCUAAAUGUAUGAAAUCACUUUGAAGGCAAUCAUUUGUCAAAGUGACAUGAUGUAGACCUUGCAGUAAUAGUGGAUAAUCUGCAAAUUAAGCAGUAGAUGCCAACAAUACCUGGUGAUUUCUUGAGGUAGUCACAUUUAAUAUUAAUAUUUGGAAGAGCAUUUUAAAGGUAGUCAUCUUGUUAAAUGACAAGACGUAGACUUUACAAUAUUGAUGGAUAAUCUGCAAAAUAUGCAGGAGAUGCCAUCAAAUACCUUGUGAUUCCAAAUUUAAUUUUAACUGUAUAAUAUAGUUGUUGCGCUGAAAUUACAUGUUAUGGAGAAUGCUUGAGGCAGACAGAUUGAACAUGUUGAUUUAUUUUUUCUAGAUAGAAUUGUCAUUUACAAUCUGUAAAUGCAAUAUGGAAAGUGAGUCUCCUAUCCAAACUUGUAAAUAGUUGAUCGCCAAAUCUACUAUUUAAAGUAUGGAUACAUACUAAAUUGGGGAAGAAAAGUAAGUCUGGUUGAAUAAAACUGCAUGGACGUGUACUUGUUAUACACGUACAGUAAAACUGCAGGGAUGUGUACAGUAAAAUUGCAGGGACGUGUACUUGUUAUACAGAAGUACAAGGGCUAAUCGGAAUAAUGUCAAAGAGAUAAGGAUUUCCCCAAUCAUCUCUCUUUCCCGUGCGGCUUCAAAUCAGGAGUUCUACCUGUCACCACCGCUGCUAGGGAUUUGCCCUACCGGCCAAAAAAAAAAUUGCGCCGCACGCGCCGGAGGAUUGGGCUGCUCUGCCGCCACCUCAUCUCAGGUCGUGGCCUCGACGGGACUGCGCCGGAACUGCGCCUGAAGGCGCCGUGUUCUGGCCGGUUGGUAGAUGACAGCGUCGUGCAGCCGGAUGGAUCCGUCGCUCCAAUCGCCGGUUGUUGGCCGCGUCUGAGGACGCGCCACCGGGAGCCGUGAUGGGAGCGCGUCCGCACGGCUUGUGACGCGUCGCGGUCGUGAUGUGAGGCACGCGUGCGCUGUAUGCGGAGGCCGAAGGGCGCUUCCGAGGUGUGAGCCAGGAGGGCUUGCGCGCCCGAUGCUACGCACCAGAGGGUGUUGUCGCUGCAGCGCCGUUGGUCUUCUGCGCGCCGUUGGUCUUCUGUGCGCCUCCCUCUGCCGCUAAUGCCGGAGCGUCUAAUUGGCUGGAGGGCGUCACACCAGAUAUGCUGCAGCGCCGGAGGAGCCAAGCCGAAGGGCGCUGUGCACCAGGCGUGGGCCGGAGGGACCAUCGCUGCACCGCCGACGUGCCGCUGCCUCCUGUUUCCGAGCGGCGCUGAAUCGAGGAGGUCGCCACGCGCGUGCCGGAGGGCGUAGCUGCGGAGGGCCGACCGUGGGUCGUGGCCUUGGCGCCGCAUCGACGACAAAUGUUCGAGUUCGUCGUCGGUGAUUCGUUGCGAUGCGCGAGUGCAUCUGCCAUCAUUCUUUCGGUGAUCAGUUUGAUUUCUAUUGAUUCUCAAGUUUAUAUACAUCUGGAAGAGGUGCGAAGAAGAGGUGACUAUUCGGAGGCAUCCUUUCAGAACAGGUGCUUGUUGGCAAUAGAGAGAUAGAAUAGACAUGACUUUUCGGGGUUGGACACCCUUUCCUAAUUAAUUUCUAACAUUUUGCACGAGCAAAAUCGGAGAGAAAAAGGGAUUAGCACUAAUAAGGCGGACAAUGCCACGUGAGAGCAUUUCUACUCCAUUUCAUCUUUUUCUUGAGAUGAAUAACGGUUGUGUUUGACUAUAACAGGUUGAGGUCCUCAAAUCAGCGGAAUAUGGUGGGCGCAAUCGCGUCGUCAUGUCAACUAUUGUGGUUUAGCAAAGAGAUGUUGUAAAUCUUGUAACAAGCUGGUCACCUUGCAAGAGCAUGAGUGGGUGUUGUCGUGGUGAGAAGGGACUCUGUAACAACAUAAUCUAUUCUAAAUAGUUUUGGUGGUUGAUAACGAUGUUUUUUACGAAUUAAUUGUGUGCAUUAAACUUUCAAAGAAUUAUCAGGCGGCACGAGACGGUUAUUUUCUCCUCACUGGUUGAAAGAGAAGACGAUGCUUACCUAUCGAUUUAGUGUUGGUGGACUAUCAAGAGGGAAUCCGCGUAUAGAAAGGUUGGGCGAAACAAACUCACACACACUUGCACCCCAUCCGAUUCCCGAAGCAAUGG